AGAGUUUGAUCCUGGCUCAGGAUGAACGCUAGCGACAGGCCUAACACAUGCAAGUCGAGGGGUAACAGGGGCUUCGGCCCGCUGACGACCGGCGCACGGGUGAGUAACGCGUAUGCAACCUGCCUGUAACAGCGGGAUAGCUCCCUGAAAGGGGAAUUAACACCGCAUAAGACCACGCUCUCGCAUGGGGACGGGGUAAAAUAUUUAUAGGUUACAGAUGGGCAUGCGUGACAUUAGUUAGUUGGUGAGGUAACGGCUCACCAAGACUGCGAUGUCUAGGGGUUCUGAGAGGAAGGUCCCCCACACUGGAACUGAGACACGGUCCAGACUCCUACGGGAGGCAGCAGUGAGGAAUAUUGGUCAAUGGACGCAAGUCUGAACCAGCCAUGUCGCGUGCAGGAUGACUGCCCUAUGGGUUGUAAACUGCUUUUAUAUUGGAAGAAUUGCGCUUACGAGUUAAGCGUUUGACGGUACAUUAUGAAUAAGGAUCGGCUAACUCCGUGCCAGCAGCCGCGGUAAUACGGAGGAUCCGAGCGUUAUCCGGAUUUAUUGGGUUUAAAGGGUGCUCAGGCGGGCCAUUAAGUCGGCGGUGAAAUUUUGCGGCUCAACCGUAAAAGUGCCUUCGAUACUGGUGGUCUUGAGUGUGGAUGAGGUAGGCGGAAUUUGUGGUGUAGCGGUGAAAUGCAUAGAUAUCACGAGGAACUCCGAUUGCUAAGGCAGCUUACUAAGCCAUAACUGACGCUCAAGCACGAAGGCGUGGGGAUCAAACAGGAUUAGAUACCCUGGUAGUCCACGCAGUAAACGAUGAUUACUGGCUGUUUGCGAUAUAUUGUAAGCGGCUGAGCGAAAGCGUUAAGUAAUCCACCUGGGGAGUACGUUCGCAAGAAUGAAACUCAAAGGAAUUGACGGGGGCCCGCACAAGCGGAGGAACAUGUGGUUUAAUUCGAUGAUACGCGAGGAACCUUACCCGGGUUUGAAUUGCUGAAUUUGCAUUUGGAGACAUUUGCUUCCCUUUUGGGUUUCAGUGAAGGUGCUGCAUGGUUGUCGUCAGCUCGUGCCGUGAGGUGUCGGCUUAAGUGCCAUAACGAGCGCAACCCUUGCCGUUAGUUGCCAUCGGGUCAUGCCGGGCACUCUAUUGGGACUGCCAUCGUAAGAUGUGAGGAAGGUGGGGAGGACGUCAAAUCAGCACGGCCCUUAUGUCCGGGGCGACACACGUGUUACAAUGGGGGGUACAGCGGGUUGCUACCUGGUGACAGGGUGCUAAUCUUUAAAACCUCUCUCAGUUCGGAUCGGAGUCUGAAACUCGACUCCGUGAAGCUGGAUUCGCUAGUAAUCGCGCAUCAGCCACGGCGCGGUGAAUACGUUCCCGGGCCUCGUACACACCGCCCGUCA
This 1392-nucleotide ribosomal RNA is filed under the name uncultured bacterium. Its description in RNAcentral is "16S ribosomal RNA". It matches the Rfam family "Bacterial small subunit ribosomal RNA". The record is from RNAcentral.